This 364-nucleotide ribosomal RNA is filed under the name uncultured bacterium. Its description in RNAcentral is "bacterial SSU rRNA". It matches the Rfam family "Bacterial small subunit ribosomal RNA", at positions 8 to 398 of the family's 1533-position model. The record is from RNAcentral.
AGAGUUUGAUCCUGGCUCAGAGCGAACGCUGGCGGCAGGCUUAACACAUGCAAGUCGAGCGGGCGUAGCAAUACGUCAGCGGCAGACGGGUGAGUAACGCGUGGGAACGUACCUUUUGGUUCGGAACAACACAGGGAAACUUGUGCUAAUACCGGAUAAGCCCUUACGGGGAAAGAUUUAUCGCCGAAAGAUCGGCCCGCGUCUGAUUAGCUAGUUGGUGAGGUAACGGCUCACCAAGGCGACGAUCAGUAGCUGGUCUGAGAGGAUGAUCAGCCACAUUGGGACUGAGACACGGCCCAAACUCCUACGGGAGGCAGCAGUGGGGAAUAUUGGACAAUGGGCGCAAGCCUGAUCCAGCCAUGCC